GACGAACGCUGGCGGCGUGCCUAAUACAUGCAAGUAGAACGCUGAAGGAGGAGCUUGCUCUUCUGGAUGAGUUGCGAACGGGUGAGUAACGCGUAGGUAACCUGCCUGGUAGUGGGGGAUAACUAUUGGAAACGAUAGCUAAUACCGCAUAAGAGUAGAUGUUGCAUGACAUUUACUUAAAAGGUGCAAUUGCAUCACUACCAGAUGGACCUGCGUUGUAUUAGCUAGUUGGUGGGGUAACGGCUUACCAAGGCGACGAUACAUAGCCGACCUGAGAGGGUGAUCGGCCACACUGGGACUGAGACACGGCCCAGACUCCUACGGGAGGCAGCAGUAGGGAAUCUUCGGCAAUGGACGGAAGUCUGACCGAGCAACGCCGCGUGAGUGAAGAAGGUUUUCGGAUCGUAAAGCUCUGUUGUAAGAGAAGAACGAGUGUGAGAGUGGAAAGUUCACACUGUGACGGUAUCUUACCAGAAAGGGACGGCUAACUACGUG
Molecule: ribosomal RNA, 495 nt
Filed under: uncultured bacterium
Lineage: Bacteria
Description: partial 16S ribosomal RNA
Rfam family: Bacterial small subunit ribosomal RNA
Source: RNAcentral